RNAcentral lists this long non-coding RNA (31096 nucleotides) under Vitis vinifera (wine grape). Its description in RNAcentral is "long non-coding RNA (VVIN_LNC005948)". The record is from RNAcentral. Lineage: Eukaryota; Viridiplantae; Streptophyta; Magnoliopsida; Vitales; Vitaceae.
GGGAGGGGGAGAGUGAGAGGGACCUACCAACCAAAAAAUGGCGGCGGAAGUUCAGCUGAGCAGCAACAUGAGGAAAGCUCUCCUGGUUCUGAAUUGUGUGAUUCUCUCAAUUGGAAACUGCGGUGGUCCCUUGGUGAUGCGCCUGUAUUUCGUUCUUGGCGGCGAGAGAAUAUGGUUUUCCAGUUGGUUGGAAACGGUUGGGUGGCCCUUGAUCCUAGUCCCUCUCAUCAUCACUUACAUGCACCGCCGAACCAAGCAAGACUCCCAUGCCAAACUCUUCUUCAUGAAACCUCCUCUGUUCGUGGCCUCCGCUGUUAUCGGUGUCCUCACCGGAUUCGAUGACUACCUCUAUGCCUAUGGCGUAGCAAAACUGCCCGUUUCAACAUCAGCUCUCAUUGUCGCAAGCCAGCUCGCUUUCACAGCAGCCUUCGCGUUCCUCUUGGUGAAACAAAAGUUCACCUCAUACUCCGUAAAUGCCAUAUUUCUGUUGAGUAUCGGUGCCGGUGUCUUGGCUUUACACACUAGCUCCGACCGCCCUACUAAUGAGUCCAACAAAGAAUAUUACCUCGGGUUUGUCAUGACACUUGCAGCUGCAGCGCUCUAUGGUUUCAUUCUCCCCUUGGUUGAAUUAACCUACAAGAAAACAAAGCAGGCAAUAACCUACUCACUGGUCAUGGAGAUUCAAAUGGUGAUGUGCUUCUUCGCCACCGUCUUUUGCACAGUGGGGAUGUUGGUUAAUAAUGACUUUCAGGUGCAUUUCUCUUUUCUCUCCACUCAAUUACCCUAACAUAUUCAACCAGAUAGAAGAUUGAUAAUUUAUGUUUGCUUCUUCCUCAUUUAAUUUUGUAGGCAAUUUCCAGAGAAGCAAAAGAAUACGAGCUUGGAGAAGCUAAAUAUUAUCUGGUGGUGGUAUGGAAUGGGAUCAUAUGGCAGUGUUUCUUCUUAGUAUCAAUAGGAGUCAUCUUUAGCGCUUCAUCUUUGGUAUGCGGUAUUGUGAUUACUGUCCUACUCCCCGUGACAGAGAUCUUGGCUGUUAUUUUCUUCCGAGAAAAAUUUCAAGCAGAGAAGGGGGUUUCACUGGCUCUCUCUCUGUGGGGCUUUGUUUCCUACUUCUACGGCGAGAUAAAGGAUAGCAAGAAAAAGAAGAAUCCCACUUCCGAGACGGAGCUGCCUCAAACGGUCAAUCCAUGACAAACAAAUAUCUUUCUUAUUCCCCGGAAGGCAAGGGACAGGAUUACAUAUAAGCAUUUACCAGGUAAUUUAAAGAAAUACUUCGUCCGUAUGUUAACAGGCAGUUUAGCUGAUUCACCAAAUCUGUGUAAAGGAAAUGCUUGAAUUUCGUUCCUAAAUACAUGCUUGAAUAUUGAAUUUACUUGAAUUCUACAACCGCUGUGAGCGGAACAUGUUGAAAAUGAGAUCAUUUAAUUGUUCUAUAUAAGAUAAUUUCAAGAAUGAGCAAGUCUUGUUUUUUUAGUUUUCAAUUUUAGUGGUUUAUGAAAUCACAGAAAAAAGAUCAUGGGUGUUUUCAAAUUUAGAGUUUUUAUCUACCAUCAACUCAACAACCUCUGAUCCCAAUAACCACUUGCACUCAUUUGGAGGUAGGUGUCAACUACUCUCGUCAACUGCCACAGUAUCAAAUGAACCACAACAACUAUAUUUUCCAUAUUUUGUAGUGGAUGAUAUUGAUAUGAAGCGAAUAAGACGCGAGCUGCGCUCACAGGCUAGGACUUUAAUUGGUGAAGCCUCCCAACUCAUAUAGUCAACUCGCUCGAAAUUCAGUUGUUAAAGUUUUCUAAUAAAUAAAACAGUUAUUUUAAAAUAUAAAAAUUUAAAUUAUAUCAUAAAAUACUAAGGUAAAGAAAUUAGAAAAUACUAAAAUAUCAAUUCCAUAUAUAUCAAGCUUUCGAUUUUGAUCAUUAAAAGUAUAUAAUAAAAUUUAAGCCUGUGAAUAAUGAUUACUACUCAAAAAGUGUUAUUUGAUAGCCUGUAAUUAAUCCUUUUAAACACUUUUGAGUAGUAGUUUAGGCCUUUUAACUCAAUUGGCAUGUUAAGGAUCCUUUAAAGCAAUUUUGAUCACUUUGUGUAAGUUUUGGUGUUUUUGUUAGUAUUUUGAUCACCAAAACAAGUCAAGACUGAGGAGAGCUAUGAGGAAUCUUGGGUAAAGCUUAGAAGUCAUUUUCCAAGAGUGAAUCCGGAUUGCAAGGAGAAAAAGCAAAGAGAAUCUGCCAUAAAGCAUAUUCUUGAUGACAGUCGUAGCAGCCACUUUUAGAGCACUUUAUGAAGUCCAAAUGAUGCAUGCUAUAUACCAUUUUAAAGCUCAGGAAGUCAACAAUCCAAUGCUUCAAACGGUGUGCAAUUCGGAGUUGAAACGAAGAAGUUGCAGCCAUUACAAGCCAAUCACUCCGAGCUGAAGAAAACAUUUUGCAAAGUGCUGCGAAAUCACCCUUUUGUUGCGAAGUGAUUUCGCAGCAUUUUUGUACAGUAAGGUGUUUCUCCUUCUGACGAUGCACGAACCAUGCCGCGAGAAGGGAGCUGGGAACCUCAAGGUGGAAGCCAACUUCGCAGCCAUGUGAAGAUAGCUCGGUGUUGCGAAAUAAUUUCGCAGCCCUCUUGGGUGUCUGCGAAAUUUCGCAGACACCAUAUUUCUCCUGCGAAAUGGUUCCUGAAGCCUCCCGAAGCUUGCUACCGACAUUGGGAGAUAUUUUCCAUUAGAUUUUUGUUGUCUAAAUCCCAAAAUACUCCUUGUAAACCACCAAUUACAUGAUUCCUUAGUUUUUAAGUUAGUAAAAAGACUAAAUAUCUUUGUAACAAUUAGUUUUAUAUUAUGUUGAUAUAUAUACCUCUCGAGAGCCUGUUCUCAGGGAGGAGUUCCUUUUGUAAACCGUUUGGGUAAGCAAGUAAAGGUCUUUUUCUUUCUACUGCCUUACCUUCUCACUUUGUAUUUUCAGUUUAUUUCUAAGUUAUGAAUUCUCUGAGGAGUUUUCCCCAGAGAAUGAGUAACUAAACCUCUAAUUCCUUGGAGCUAAGGUUGCCGGGGAAGGUUCCAAGUGCAAGAAUGCAAAGCUUUGUGGUUUUAGCUAGUAAUGAAGAGGAAGUGAAAUCCUUUAGUGAUUUCUAUGUUUUUAGUUAACUUAAAACACCUUGGAGUUACCUGGGCCAACACUUGGUAAGGCAAGUGAUUUUCAACCAUGGAAAUGCACUAGUUUACCCCUUGCGAGCCUCUGGGAGGUGACUUCAGGGUAGGAUUUUCUAGAAUAGCCAACACUUGGUAAGCUUUUGGACUCCUAGGAGGCAUCCAUUAGUUAUCUCUUGCGAGCUUUUGACGGGUAAUCCAAGGUUAAAGAUCACCUUGAAUGGUUAAGGCUUAGUGAGAGGCUUAAACCAUUGCAAGUUGCAUCAGUGAGAGAAUUAAAGUGAAAUCUAAUUGAAGGAGUCUCUGUACAUCACCGGUUAGAGAAUUGACUAUGUGUUGAAUCUCUAAUGCGAGGAAAUGAACCAUCUGACCAAAGCCGUGUCUUUUGCAUGAGGAACCACCCCAGUGAACCUAAAUCUCUAAGGAAUGCUUUUCUUCCUAAAUUAUUCCAAACUUCUGUUAAGUUAGUUAGUUUAAGUCUCAACUUUUACCAAUCAAAGUUUGUGUUUUACUUCUUAAGCUAACCAUAAAAUGAAACAAGACCAAUUCACUUGGAAUUGGUAUCAUUGAUUGCUUGUUAGUCAUUCCCAGUGAACGACCCUAGAGCCACUAUACUAUAGUAGCUUUUUCUUUGCUACCCUAGUGUAUGGUGUUAUAGGUAAUAAAUUUUGUUGAUCACUUCCUCAAUCAAGGAGCACCAGCUGAACACCAAUCAGCUGAGACACCAAUUGAGCAUGAAUCAAAUAAGAUUACGAAUAUAUGGAUUCAAUAUAUAAACGAGUGGGAUGGAACAUGACUCAAAUGAAUAAGGCAUAAAAAAGACAAAUAAUAAUGAUGCCAGACUAUAUAUGUGAUAAUGAUGAUAGAUUGUAGAUGGAGAUGGAUUUCAUAUAAAAAUAAGGAUUUUAUAUUUAAAAUUCAUUUUUAAAGAAUAAAAUACAUUAAAAAACAGUUAAACAUAAAUCGAAGACUUUUUUACUUUAAAUUUCUCUCAAAAGGAAAUUUUAUAAAUAAAAUAAAUUUAUACGAGUAUUAAUCGACAAAAUUUCAAAUCAACAAUAAUUCUUGCAUUUGUAUCAAACUUUAAAAGAUGUAAGUGAAAUUAAUCCUAUUUUUGGAUUGUUAUUUAUAUCAAAUCUUCCCCAUCUUAAUUCCAACCCAAACCAAACUUGACAUGGAUUGGGUGGAACAACUUUAACAAAACUUCAAGUUGUCAUCUCUAAUGUUAGUUUGGAAUAGAAAAUAAAAAUGAAACAAUUUCAUUCUCCUCUAUUAAUGUAUCCAGACUAUUUAUUACGAUGAAAAUUAGAAUAAAAAGUUCAUUAGUAUAUAAACCAAAUCUGCCUAUGAAUAAAAAAACAGUAGAUAAAUACUCUAAGGUUACUUUGGAAUAGAGAAUAAGAAUGGAAGAAUUUCAUUCUUCUUUAUUAAUGGAUCCAGAUUGUUGUUUACAAUGAGAAUAAGAGAAUUAGAAUAAAAAUUUCGUUAGUAGGUAAACCAAAUCUGCCAAUGAAAAAAAAAGACCACAGAUAAAUCAAAUCUCACUUUUACAAUAAUUUUGAUUCAUUCUUUUGUACAUGAUAGUGUGAUUCACUUUCAUUCUCUUUCUAUUCCACUUUUCUACUUUUCCACCUACCACUCAUCCUAGUCGUAAUGUGAUUAUUGUGUCUCGUAUCUUUGGUAAAGAGAACCAACCGACUAUAUCUCAACAAAGCGUCCAUCAUUUAUGCCAUGCAGCGUACAUCAUGCGAAAGAGCCAAUGAGCGUUUCACAUAUGGUAUAGCAAAACUGCCCAUUUCAACAUCUGCUCUCAUUAUCGCAAGCCAGCUCGCUUUCACAGCAGCCUUUGCAUUCCUCUUGGUGAAACAAAAGUUUACUUCAUACUUCGUAAAUGCCAUAUUUCUUUUGAGUAUCGGUGCUGGUGUCUUGGCUCUACACAAUAGCUCUGACUACCCCGCCAACGAAUCUAACAAAGAAUAUUAUCUCGGGUUUUUCAUGAUACUAGCAGCUGCAACGCUCUAUGGUUUCAUUUUCCCGUUGGUUGAAUUAACCUACAAGAAAGCAAAGCAGGCAAUAACCUACUCACUGGUCAUGGAGAUUCAAAUGGUGAUGUGCUUCUUCGCCACCGUCUUUUGCACAGUGGGGAUUGUUGAUGCCUCGCGUCCCAGGGAUCCACACAGCUGCCAAGUGGACGCGCGCUUUCAACCAAGAAUGAAUUCUGGCUCAGUCGAUCCUGCAAAAGAUGUCCGGACACAUCCUCCGAUGGUUUUGUUAGUCAUGGCUCAAUGGAUCAGGCUGUUGCCCUUUUUUCUGAGUUAGCUGACUUACCUUCUUCUUUGCAUGAAGGUUCUUUUAUAUAGUGUCAGAAGCUCCGCUCCCCUCUUUAAUGGCGGGAAGACUUUUUGGCUUGUCAUGAUGUCCCUGAGGUGAUGGCAGAAUCAUCAUCACCUUCCAAACGGCUGUUAGAAAUCGUGGGAGGUGACUUGUCAUCACUCCUGUCCUUUCGCUCUACAGGCGGCGAAACGUGGGCUAUGACAGGUUGUCUGGGGUGACUCAGCAUGGCUUACUUUUUAUGGUCAAUGAUCCGGACAAUGUAUUCGGAUAGAAUAGAGCACAGUCCGGGUAUAAUAUUUGAGAGUGUCGUGUGUCUCCUUGAGGGACCUGGAUAGAGCUGGCGUGCCAUGUGGACUCUGAGGGGGUCCCUACAAUGCCCCCCUUUUAACCUGGCGAUUUUGUCCUGGCAGAAUGGGUAGGUUAAAAAAAAUGAUGACUUUGAAAGUUUGGUUGUUUUUUGCGUUUAUUGUGCCAUGUGGCGGUGCGGAGGCGAAAAGAAGGAAGAGCAUUUAUGGCGAGCCGCCAUCCUUGGGAAUUCCUAUGCGGCAUGUCGUUUCAAUAGCAGCGUGGCUGGGAGUUUGGAAUACCGAGGGGUUGUCUCCCUUUAAAUAGUAGACCCAGCCCCCACAACUGCAUUUCUUCCUUCUGCAUUUCUGUUGCUAGUGUUUUCGUUUAGGUUCUUUGUGUAUUCUUGCCUGUGAGUGAAGUUCUAGGGCUUUUGCUAGCGACAUUCGCGUCGUGAGGGUGACUGCAUCGCGGCCUUCGUCCUCAUUUGCCAGUUUGCACCAGGUACGUUCUCUAUUUCUACCUUCUCUCCAUUGGGUUUCUUUUUUAUUUUAUCUUGCUUGUUAGGUAGGUUGCUUGCGAUUGAGGGUCGGUGCUGGUGUUUAGGGAUUUUUCCGGGGGGGGGGGGGGGGGGNNNNNNNNNNNNNNNNNNNNNNNNNNNNNNNNNNNNNNNNNNNNNNNNNNNNNNNNNNNNNNNNNNNNNNNNNNNNNNNNNNNNNNNNNNNNNNNNNNNNUUUGGGGUUUUUCCAAGCCACUUUCGGUUGGGGGGGGGGAGUGCUUGGGGCCUUUCUCCUUUUUUUCCCGUUUUCCCCCGGGACCUUUUUUUUUUUCUCCUUUUUCCCCAGGGGUUUUUUUUUUUUUUUUUUUUUCUUUUUUGGGUGGUUGUUUGGGGUUGGGGGGGGGGGGUGGGUUUUUGGGAUUUUUCCGGGGGGGGGGGGGGGGGGGGGUUUGCUUUCGUUUUGGGCCUGUUGGGGUUCCUGUUGCCCCCUAUAGCCUUUGCGGGUGACUGGUCCUACUUUGGGGUAGAGUCAAGGGUUAGGUUGGGGAUGUUGGCUAUUUUAGGCUUUCUGGGCGUUUUUUGCUAUUAGGGUUAUGGGGCCGGGUCCUUCUAUUUUACUGUUGGCAUUUCGCCAUGCAGGUUCCGUUUCGGCCCCAUACUUUAAAAUGCCUGCGAAAAAGGACGUAGCUUCGUCCAGUGCGGUUGGGCCCAGCGGAAAGAAUGCGUCCGGGGUGGUCUAUGCGGAGAAGCCUGUUGACAAGCUGAACGUGAGGCAGUUUUGUGAACGCUUCUGCAUUCCGAACGGCGUAUCCGUUCAGCUUGUGGACGGAGAGGUCGUAUCCACCGAGAAAUCUGUGGACAACGCUAUCUAUUUCUCUAAGGAGCAAUUCAACGCGGGGCUUCGGUUCUUUCUCCCGUCUCUCUUCAAAGAGUUUCUUCACUUCACCAAGAUCCCUCCGGCCUACAUCCAUCCCAACAUAGUCCGGGUGUUGAUGGGGUGCAGCAUUUUGAACAUGUUGUUCAACUUGGAUCUUUUGCUGCUGGGGGUCCAUUUCAUCUACUCCAUCAAGAAGGGGAAAACUGACCUCUUCAACUUGUUUACCCAUAUCCCGUCCCUCCAAUUGGUGACUAAUCUCCCAGAUUCGAUGAAGGGGAGAGCCAAAGGACAUGUACUAGUCAAGGGUGUUUAGGCUGGACUGUCGGAACAUCCGGAGAGAUUGUUUUCCCUAAAUCGUUCACUGGCGCUCCCGGGGUAGGGUAGAUUUUCGAGUUUGUCCGGCGUGCAUUUCUUGUUCUUUUACUUUCGUGUUAUCAGAUGGCUAACUUUUUUGGUUGUGGGCAACGUAGGUAAGUCCAAGAGGGACCGCCUAGUCGAGUGGGUGGAGAAAGCCUCUUUUGAUCGCUUGAACAAGCUGUUCGAGAUUACUGCUACUAAGAGGCAUUAUCAGACGUUGCUCACUACUCGGAACCUGUUGGCAGUUGUCCGGGAGCCUCACCCGUACGUCACCAACAUUCUCCCUAGGCGAUUGCCAAAACGUGUAGUGUCUUGGGAGCAUUUUGUGUUGAAAGAUUUGCCCUUCUACGAGAGGGCUCGCAAGGCUAACACAAAGGCGCGCCAGGAGCGCCUUAACCAGCAAGAGGAGAAGAGGCAGAAGGGGACAUUGAGGAAAGCACCUGGUGAGAAGGGGCGCGACUCUUCCCCAGCCGCCUUCCCCCGGCCACAAAAGAAAAGAAGAAGACGAAGAAGACUCGUGCGCAGGUGCUCUAGAUAGUGGCCCCAACUCUUGAGGCUUCGUCUUCGUCUUGCAGGUCCGAGCCCAAUCAGCCGGACCACACUAUUCCGGAGUCUAAGGAGGUUGAGGAACCUGAGGCCAUCACCAGUUCGCCACAGCUUGAAACCUUCCAUCCGGGGCCUAGCUUUCCCCAGCCGCAGUCGGAGUUUGUUGGCUUGAGGGUCGUGGAUGAGCCAGAGGAAAUGAGAGAUGCAAACGACCUUAGGGCGGGGCUUUUGCAAAGACAUCGACCUUGGCCCCCCCAGUUAAGAAAGUUUGUCCGGAGCAGGGUGGAGAGGACCCGACGCCAGAAUUUUGGCUUCAGCUGUGACUCGUCCAGACGAGGUGGGUAUUAGCGCAACUUCCACGGCUCAGCCGGAUGCCGCAGGGUCUAGCGCGGCGGCAACGGUUCAGGCCAACGCUUCGGGGCCUAGCUCAACGACUGCUGCUCAAUCGAGUACAACUGCCUUCGGCAAUGCCCCGACUGCUGUGGAGACCCAUGCGUCAGAGGGGGUUCCGGAUGCGUCGAACGACGAGAAGGCUUCGGACGAAAAGAGCAGUCCUGCUGUUGCAGUUCCUCCAAGCUAGGAGGAAAUGAUGGAGAUGCUGAAAGGAGUGCCAUGCUUCACGGAUGUAGAGACGCCUUCCACGAGGAUGUCAGACUUCUUCCCUUUGACCAAACGUGUCUCUGUGAACAUGGGUGGGGACCCUCCUGCUUUUGUCAAGGCGCGGCUCCCUUUUGGCGCUCCUGAGUCCAUCGUAUCUUGCAUUCAACACCUAUAGGAAUGGACGAUUCCAGAGACUGUAGAAGUGGUAAAUACUUCUUUGCUGUUUUUCUCUUCUUUCUUAGCAGUUGCUACUUUUCCAUGUAACAUUGUCUGUUGUUUUGUUGUUGCUUUGCCCAUGUUGUAGCCGGCAUCCACUACAUGAUGUGCACACGCGAGCAGCUUUUCAAGCGGCUGGAAUUGGUGGAGGCCAUGCAUGCCUUUAUCUCCCAACAUCCGGGUGGCAUCGAGGAGCUGCGCGCCAAGUUGGAGAAGGUGGAGGCCGAAUUGGCCGCUGCUCGGAAAGCUGUGGCGGAUGGGACGGAGCAACUAGGUCGGGUUGAAGGGGAUAAGGAGACUAUCCGGGCCGAGGCUGACAUCCUGAAGAAAGAAAAGCAAGCCUUGGAGGGCUAAGUCAAUGCAGCUGGGCAGGAGAACCUCCAGUUGAAGAGAGAGACGGAUGAACUCCUGGAUAGCCUUGCCGCCCAGAAGAAGGAGUCAGAGGAUUUGCGGGAGGGUCUGGCGGCUCAAAAGGAGAAAAUGGAGGCUAGGUUCGCCGCUCAGAAGAAGGAGAUGGAGGAGGAAUACCAGAAGCAGGCAGACGAGAUGUAUUUCUUUGGCUACCGUUGUUGUAUGAAGAAACACGGAAUUAUGCAUGAUAUUCCUUCUUUCCUUUCUGAUGAGGAAGAUACAACACCUGGGGGUCCGUCCAGCUGAAACUUCCUUCUGUACAGACUUUAUAAUUUUUCCUCUUUGUUUUGCUGCACAUGGGGCAGUUAUUUUUGUAAAGACACUUUUUACUUAUUUAUAAAUACAUUACAUUUCUUCUGUUUUUUGCUUACUCCUCAUUUCCUUUCAUUGAUAAUACUGCUUAAGAUUGGAUACAUUUCAUGGACGGAGCAGCGAGGUUCCAUCUAGCUUCUAUAGAUGAUAGACUCCACUUUCACUUGUCUUGGACACAAUGUAAGGGUCUUCCCAAUUUGCUUGGAAUUUUCCUGCUCCCUUUUCAGCAGUGUUCUUGAAAACCUUUAUGAGGACCAACGUUCCACCUUUGAAGCUCUUGGGUCGUGCCUUGCGUUUGUAGUGAGCUGCCGCCCUUUGUAGGUAGUCGGUCAUUCGAAUGGAUGCGUUCUCUCUCACUUCAUCCACCCAGUCCAAAUUUCUUCCUAGUUCCACAUUUGCAUCACCCUGUCGUCCUACCUCAAUCCGGAUAGUGGGUAGGCCUAUUUCUGUAGGGAUGACUACAUCCAUACCGUAUGCGAGGGCGAAGGGAGUGUUUCCUGUUGGUCACCCGGGUGUGCUUCGAUAGGCCCAUAGGACGCCGGGUAACUCCUCUACCCACUUCCAUUUGGCUUGCCCGAGCCUCUUCUUUAAGGUAGUUACCAGGGUUUUGUUUUUGCCUCUGCCUGUCCAUUGCUUUGAGGAUAAUGUGGUGUGGAGUAUAAAUUCCAGAUGUUAAGUUCCGAACAGAAAUUCCAGAAAGUGAUGCUAUCAAACUGCGGGUCGUUAUCAGCUAUAAUGGUUUGAGGGAUUCCAAAGCGACAGAUGAUGUUCUUCCAUACGAACUUGGUGAUGUCUUUGUCCUUGAUGCUAGCGUAUGCUUCAUCUUCUACCCAUUUACUGAAGUAAUCUGUGGUGACGAGUAGAAAUUUCUUCUAGGCAACUGCGGCUGGUAGGGGUCUUACUAUGUCCAUCCCCCAUUGCGCGAAGGGUCAGAGGCUAGAAAUUAGUUUUAAUGUCUCAGAUGGUGCAUGCGGUAUGAGGGCAUGCCUCUGGCAUUUGUCACACUUCUUGACAUAAGCUGCCGCAUCUUUCUCAUCGUGGGCCAAUAAUAUCCUUGCGAGUGGGCCUGAUGAGCUAGAGAUCGACCUCUAGAAUGAUUGUCGCACACACCCUCAUGUAACUCAUCCAAUACAUACAAGGCUUCCGAGUGAUCCAGGCACCUAAGGUAGGGGCCUGUGAAGGAUCGCUUGUAGAGGUGCCCCCCGAUUAGGGUGAAACGGGCGGCUUGUACUCAGAUCUUAUGUGCCUGCCUGGGUUCUUCGGGCAAAGUUCCUAUUCGGAGAUACCUUAUUAUGACUUUCGUCCAUUCUUAGCCGUCUGUUUGGCUCGCCUCAAUAGUAUUGCAAGUGGAGGCUUCUGUGAUGGAGGGGUCAGUUUGCACGUGUAUGGGCAAUAAUAUGGCCUCUUUGAUGGGGAGGGAAACGGCUAUCCCUGCCAGGGUGUCGGCACGUCCAUUAUCAGCUCAUGGAAUUUUUUUCGAUUGUUCAUUCGACAAACCGUUGCAGGGUGUCUCUUACUUUAGUCAGAUAUCGCGCCAUGCGUUCAUCUUUGGCUUCGUAUUCCUCCUGGACGUGUCUUACCACGAGUUGGGAAUCACUGUAGAUUCGAAGCUUGGAGACAGAUAAGGCCAAGGCAAGAUCUAAUCCGAAUAGGAUGGCUUAAUAUUCUAUUUCAUUGUUAGACGCGAGGAAUCCCAGUCGAAUAGCUUGCUCUAGCUGUUCUCCCGUUGGGGAUUGCAGUAGGAGCCCUACUCCGGAUCCUGAUGACCGAGAGGCUUCAUCAACCCGCAAGGUCCACCACUCUUCUUCGCAUGGUUCUUUGCGUUGAGCAGGUUUUUGAGAGUAUUUUAGCAUGAAGUCAGCCAUUACCUGCCCUUUCAUGGACAAUCUCGGUUGGUAUUCAAUUUCGUACUCGCUCAACUCUAUGGCCCAUUGAAGCAUUCUUCCGGUCAGGUCCGGCUUGUGCAGGAUGUUGCGAAGGGGCUGGUCGAUCAGCACGACCACUGGGUGGGCUUGGAAGUAAGGGCGGAGCUUCUAGGCGGCACUUCGAAUGGCCAAAGCUGUUUGCUCCAUCUUUGAGUACCUUGUUUCUACGUCAGUCAAUGCCCUGCUAACAUAAUAAAUAGGUUUUUGCUCCUUAUGCGAGGGGCAGUGGAAUAAAACAGCACUAAUUGCCCACUCUGAUACAGCCAGAUACAUAUACAAUUUUUCUCCAGGGAGGGGGCUGCUUAGAAUGGGUAGUUGUAUGAGGUAGUGCUUGAUUUUCUCGAAAACGCUCUGGCAGCUGUUCGUCUACCCGUUCGCAUCGGCUUUUCGUAUUGCCAAGAAGAAGAGUCGCAAUUCAUCAGUGAAGCGGGCUAUGAAACGCCCUAGUGCGACAAGCUUGCUUGUGAGGCGAUGUAAUUCAUUUUUGCUCCUAGGGGGUGGUGUUUCCAUGACUACCUUAACUUGAUCCCUCUUUGGCUGACCAUGAACCUUAGGAAUUUUCCAGCACUUACGCCGAAAGCGCAUUUGGACGGAUUCAGUUUCAUGUCAUACUUCCUUAAGAUGUGGAAGACUUCUUGUAAGUGAAAGGCAUGUUCACUUCGGGUUUUGCUCUUAACCACGAUAUCAUCGAUGUAUAUCUCCACUGUGCGGCCAACUAGAGGUUUGAAGAUCUUCGUCAUCAAUCUCUAAUAGGUGGCGCCAUCGUUUUUAAGUCCGAAUGGCAUGACUUUAUAACAAUAAAGCUCAUGCAGCGUUAUAAAGGCUGUCUUUUCUUCGUCGACCGGAGCUAUGGGGAUUUGGUGGUACCCGGAGAAGGCAUCCAAGAAGGAGAGCAUUCCCUAUCCGGCGGUGGAGUCUACGAUCUGGUCUAUCCGUGGUAGAGGGAAACUGUCUUUUGGGCAUGCGUUGUUGAGGUUGGUGUAAUCGACGCACACUCGCCAUUUGCCUUCUUUUUUGGGGACCACUACUACAUUUGCUAACCAGUCCGGAUACUCCACUUCUCUAAUAAAUCCGACCUCCAGCAAUUUGUCAAUCUCAUCCUGGAUAAUUUUUUGCCUGUCUGGGUGAAAAUGUCUAACCCUCUGUCGGACAAGUCUUGUUGUUGGCAAGACGUUAAGCCUAUGAGAGGUGAUUGAAGGGUGGUUCCCUUCAUGUCAAAAUGCGGCCAUGCAAAGACGUCAUGGCUUUGUCGGAGGGCGUCGUGGAUGUCUUGUGCUUCUUCGGGUGUCAAGAGGGAACUGAUAUGUGUGAGGUGAGUACUUUCUUCCGAUAUCUUGAUUGUCUGCAAGGGAUUCACUGCCGAGGGAUCUUUGUCCUCCGGAUUCAGUAAUUGUUAUUGGUCAAGUGCGCUGGUGGGUUCAGGGAGGGGCUCGUCGCCCUUGCUGAUCCCACCUUCUAGCACUAUCUGAUAGCACUGGCGGGCAGCCAACUGGCUACCGUAUAGAUUGGUUUGUCCAUCUUUAGUAAGAAAGCUCACCAUCUGAUGGUACGUGGAAGGGAUUGCUUUCAUAUAGUACAACCACGCGCGUCCUAAGAUGACGUUGAAGGGGGACAAAUCUCCUACCACUGAAAAUUGUACGUUAAGGGUGACUUGGACUGGCAGCACAAUGUCUCCAAGGGAGGUGGUUGCUACGCCAUUAAAUCCCAACAAGACCCACCCAGGAUUUUCUAAGUCGGAUAGUUCGAGACCCAUUUGAUUAACUACUGAUGCCUGCAAAAGAUCGAUCGAGCUUCCUGGGUUGAUUAGGAUCUAUCUUACAUCAAAGUCUCCCAUCACCAGAGAUAGGAUGAGGGCGUCACGGUGCGGUUGUAGUAUUCGCGUGGGAUCUACGGGAGGAAAAAUGAUUGUCCCAUCUACUGGCUGGGCACUUCCCUCAGUUGCUCCGGUCUAAAUGGUAUUGACGCGCUCGCGUACCGAUGUCGCCCGCAGCAACUUCUGCCUCUUUCUUUUGGAGUUGUACUCCUCAUCCAGAGGUCCUCCAUGAAUAUAAUUGAUGAUGGCUUUGGGGGAGAUUGGGGUCCUGAGGGACCCGGAAUCGCGAUUUCGGGGGGUAUCUCUACCUCUGGCAUCUGAGCAGAGGUAUUGCUUCAAAUGUCCCACUUUUAUGGGCCUUUCCACCAAAUACUGGAGACUCCUGCACGUCUUCAUAGUGUGACCAUGCUCCUUAUGGUAGGCACACUUCUGGCAAUGAUCUCUUUUGGCUGGGUCCGUUCUGAGGGGUCCGGGCCACCUGAAGCCGGACAGGUCCUGGAUCAUAGGGAGGAGUUUCUCAUAUGAUAUGGAAAGGGGUGUGAGUGGUGGCAGUUCUGGGCGACUGGGCUCUCCCUGCCUUCGUUCGGACGGCCUUGACCGGUCUAGAAGUUUGGAACUUCUUUCCGCACCGGUUCUGUAUGUCUGCCCAGCAACCAAAAUUUGUUGGGUGGCCGCACGCACGUCGUCUUCCAGCAUUGAGUAUUUGCUCGCGCGCCGGAACAGGUCAUCCAUUGUCGUGGGAGGCUUCUUAGCGAGCGACUUGAAGAAUGGAGUGCCUGGGCAUAUGCUUCGUUUGAAGAUCUGAAGGACAACAUCCAUGCUAUAAGCCUCUACUUGUAACACAGCUUGACCGAACCGUUUCACUAAUUCUCUCAAAGACUCAUUCUCCUGCAUUUUUAUGUUUUGCAGAGUGCUGAUGUUCUGUUUAUGCCGAGCGGAACACAAGUAUUGCCCCACAAAAGCUUCCGACAGGUCCCUGAAGUUAUCAACAGAGUUCGGGGGUAGUCGGUGAAACCAUGAGAGAGCCUGACCUUGUAGGCUGGUGGGGAAUACUUUGCAUAGCAACGCGUCGUUUCCUAUAUCGAGAGUCAUGAGUUGUCGAUAAUGCAUGAUAUGGUCGAAGGGAUCGCUGGACCCAUCAUACGUGGAAAAUUUUGGUACGAGAAAUCUCCUUGGGGAGUCGUAAUGAAUAAUAUGUGAGCAAAAAGGCAUGGAAAGCAUGUCAUCCAGCCUCUUGCUGAUGGAGCCAGUGGGUGGCUCAUUUGGAGAGUUUCUUCCAGCUUGUCGUACCGCUUGGUGCGGGAGGAUGUUCUACACAACGAGUGCGAUCAAAGGGUUAGGGUACGCUUCCCAAGUUGUGGCCACUGGUGGCCUUAUCUUCCCAGGCUCCUGUGGGCCUAGCCUUGCGCGCAUCGCGUCCGACAGUUGGGGUCUCUUGUCGCGUUGUCUCUUUGAUGAGAGAUGAGUAGAAUCUAAGCUUUCAUCCUGGGGAGCUUGGUGCAUGGGCGUGGGCCGUUCUUGAGGUUGAUUAUUGCACCUCAGGAAUGACCCCCGCAAUCCCAAGAUAUAUCGAUUCUGGAUCAGGCCUCGAAUUUGCUCCCUGGCCUCUUGAGCGCUGGCCAUGAGAAGGCCCCGUCGAUGAAGCCUGGAUGCGUAACACAGUGUUUUCUUCUCUCAAUCUCGUUGUUUCUUGGAGGAGAGCCUGCAUUUGUCGCUUACUCUCCAACUUUCGUCUUUCCAUGGCUUCACGCCAUUCGAAAUAACCUUCACCUCCUCUAGCCGACGAGUGGCUCCUAGAAGGUGUGGACAUCUUCGCCGUCGACUGAGCAAAGUGUUCCCACAGACGGCGCCAAUGUUGAUGCCUUGCGUCCCAAGGAUCCACGCAGCUGCCAAGUGGACGGCGCUUUCAACCAAGAAUGAAUUCUGGCUCAGUCGAUCCUACAAAAGAUGUCCGGACACACCCUUCGAUGGUUUUGUUAGCCAUGGCUCAAUGGAUCAGGCUGUUGCCCUUUUUUCUGAGUUAGUUGGCCUACCUUCUUCUUUGCGUGAAGGUUCUUUUAUAUAGUGUCAGAAGCUCUGCUCCCCUCUUUAAUGGCGGGAAGACUUUUUGGCUUGUCAUGAUGUCUCUGAGGUGAUGGCAGAAUCAUCAUCACCUCCCAGGAGGCUGUCAAAAAUCGUGGGAGGUGACUUGCCAUCACUCCUGUCCUUUCGCUCUGCAGACGAUGAAACAUGGGCUGUGAUUUUAGUUAUCUCCGUCGGUGAAGCUUGAGGAGGAAAAAACAAAACACAAGGUCAUUUCGAUACUCUACGUACUCUUUAGGCUUUACCUGGACAUUAAGAAGAUAAUCAAAGAUUCCAAAGCAGAAUAUGACGAGAGGGAGGUUUGUGGUUUGGUACGUAUUGUAGCUUCAGAUUUGGUCUGUCCCAUAGAGUAAAAGUGAUGGUCCCCAGUUUAAAGCAACGAGGUAAUUUUAUCAUUGAAUUUGCUAGAUUUAGAAGGAUUCAUCGUUUCAAUAUGAUGCCACUUAUUAAUUGUUUCCCGGUAUUCCAGACAUGCUCUUGCUUACAACUCCAAGACAAACGCAUCUCUUUAGAGGCACUGUCCUUGAGAAAUGGUGAUGUUCCUCCAAGCUGUGAGAAAAUCCAAGGGGUUUUUCCCGAGGAUUCUCAAUGUGUGGCCCCGUUGGGUUGAACUGUCCGGGUUAGAAGGUGGAGUGGACUGGGUUGGCUCAACCAUCUCGGAAUAUGGAUUCUGCGUCAAGGGUUCGGCUGCAUCAUGUUGGAGAUGGACUGAUUGGCCCAUGUUUUUGUAAGGGAGUCGAAUCUCAGAGACUGGGCCUAGAUUGAGAAAUUGCAACCAUGCAAUAAAGCCCGUGUGACGUGCUCUUGGAGAUCAAAACAUGAUCCGUAUAACAAACAACCUACUGCCGACCUACACCACAGAUCGUGGUGCUGGCCACCCGUACGGUCUAGAGACCACAUGUACAAGCUCAUGACGCUAUUCCUUCCUAUCACCAAUUUGGAAAUGGCCCACCUAAGAAACAUGUAGCCAUGAUCAAACGGGAAUCCCAUGAUGAGAAAUUGUAGAGAAGAGUUAAAAAUAAAAAAUAAAAAGAAGAAAAAAGAAAGGUCAAUACCACUCGAUCAGGUUCCAGAAAAGGGCAUGUGGAAUAAGAAAUUAAUGCACUGAACGCGAACCAUGGCAGUCCCUCUAUGACAACACCAGUUAAUAGUCGUGUUGUGUCCCCACCUUCUGGAAAUGCCAUCCCUCCCACCAAAUCUCGGUAAUCAAAAUAAAAUGGGUUAUUAUCUUCAACUGCUUGCGUGCCCAAAUCAAUCACGUUUCCGAUAAGCAGUAUAGUUAGUUCUCUCAUUAACAUUUCUUCAGGAUCAAGGAUAUUAUUGAUUUUCAUUGACUUGCUCCUAUUUUGCAUUGGUUGAUGGAGAUAAACACACACAUAUUAAUCCUGAUCUUAAAAAUUGGUAUUAAAUCUGUUCAAGGAACCUAGUCAAGGAAAGCAUAAUCUUGAUUGAAACCUUGCACGCACAGCAUUGUCCACUUGUGGUUUAGCCUGGAUGCUUCUGAAAGCAUCAUGAAUGGAUUCCGAGACUUGUGGUUUAUGCCUGCAUGUUUCUGAAAGCAUCGUGGAUAGGUUCCAAGACCUCAUCAUUACUAGUUUCCCACCCCAAAAUUCCAAGAAGCCACCAAAAUACUCCUUUGAAUGGCUGCACAGGAUUUACACACUAGAAGAAGCCAAAAAAAUGAGACCCUUGGCUGAAGCAUAAUUGGACCCUUGUAAGUCUUUUACUAGAAGAAGCCAAAAAAAUGGGACCCUUUGGCUGAAGCAUAAUUGGACCUUUGUAAGUCUCUUAAUAGAAGAAGCCAAAACAAUGGGACCCCUUGGCUGAAGCAUAAUUGGGACUCUUCAGGCACAUACGGCAUGUGCAAAUAUCUAGAUAUUUUAAUCCCAAGUAAAAUGAUGCUCCUUUUUUCGUAUUCUUUUGUUUGACGUAUGCAUCAGGAUCGGACCGCAUCUAUGUUAUUUUUUAUUCCAAAUUUCAAAUAAAGACGAGACUUCGCUACAAAAUUGUCAACGCCUUUGGGACCCAUAAACCUUUUCUCAAACAAUGAUUAAAGGCAAAUUUUUGUAUUGAUAUAAUGCAACUAGCCAACCAUAUGGGUGUAAGGAUGAGCAUGCAAUCCCAUCAAAAUGGCUUCUGGACCCACACUAUCUUAGUUCGUGGCAGUCAAAUCGCAAUAUAAUAGACGGGGAGUGUUAGAUUUUCUUAAUGAGGUCCAGAAGUCUUGUCCAUAAUCUUUAGGAAUAAUACUAGACUUUGUCAAAUGGGUCUAAAAAUCUAACCCAUAAUAUUUUGACAUUUCCGUCUAUGUAAUCAUGGUUAGGUCCCUAAUUCUUUAACCUCUAUUCACACACAUGUAUCAUCGUUUAAGAUUGAUUAAAAGUUUAAAAACAUCACAACUUAUUUCAAUAUCAAAUUUGAUUUUCGAAUUCCUGAACUAUCAACUAUAGAAAAUAUGUUUUGAUUCUUCAUUUAUUUUUAUAUUUAAUAUAUGUCAUUAAGGUUUUAAGCAUAUUUAGAUUGAUUUUAACACUUAUAAUUGGUAUUAAAACCAUUUUAUUGUCUCUACCUUAAUUAUGUGCAACCUAAAAAAAUUGAUUAUGUGCCUUAAUUAUUUUCUUUUAAUCCUUAUGGUAAAAAAAAUUUCUUACGAAUUUGGAAGAAAACUGUUUGUAUUAUGCUUUUGAAAGAUGAAGAAGUCAAGUUUUGGGCAUGAAAAAUGAGGGCUAUUAAUAUCCAAUCGAUCCCUACCUCCCCUUACAACUUUUACAGUGCAAUGGCCUAGCUAUACCCCUAUUGAUGGGAGCAAGUUGUAGAGUUAUGAUUGUAUGUUGUCCAUAUUAUAGAGAUUUUGAUAUAGUGGUUUAUAGUUUUGAAUCAUUCUUUACAACUUGUAACAAUUGUAUCAUUAUUCCUUUUAAGAGAAAAGGGGUAUAUAGUGGUUAAUAUGUCCUUGUCAACACCCUUUAAAAUCAAAUCCCACAUUUUCUUCAUAAAGUAAUAUAGAUUAGGUACGAACUUCCAGUUUUUAAAUCUGGAAAGCUAUCAAAAAUUAGACAUUUAUACCAAUAAAAAAUAUGAAAAUUUUCCAGAAAUUUAAAAUUUUGGAUAUUUUGUGAAAAUUUCAUAAAUUUGGUAUUUUUGUGAAAAAAAAAAAUCAUAUUUUUGGUGUUUUUAUGAAAAAUACAUAAAUUUGGCAUUUUAUGAAAACCAUUUUGUGGAAUUAAAAUUUGGAUAUUUAUGUGCUUAAAAUCAUGUCUUUUUUGUAUGUAUAAUUUAUUGUUUUCAUUAUAUAUGUAAUUUGAAUUUUUACUAUAUAAAUUUAAACAGUGUUCAUAUAUGUAAAUAUUGCUUAUGGUUGCAUGCAAUUUAUAUAAACAGUUUUGUGAAUAAAAUUAAAUAUCUAUUGAUCUAUAUAAUUUUAAUUAAUUAGGGAUUAGCCACAACAUCUUUAAUUAUGUAAAAUUAUAUAUUAAGUACUUUAGGAUCACAUAUAUAAAAAUGACAUUGAUUGUAAUUAAUCAUAUUUAAAUAUAAUAAAUUUUAUCCUUUAUCAUAUUUGUAUUAUUAAUAAUGAUAGAAUAUCAAAUUAUAUUCUUAAUUUACCUAUAGGAAUUAGGAAAGGAACAUAAUUGAUAGUUUUAUCAUAAAGUUAGAUGAAUCUAAUUGAAUUAGAACUUUAGUACACAUACAAGUUUUAUGUCACUACUUCAUAUUUUUGAAACAUGAUUUAUAUUGGUAAAACAUGAUAUAUAUUUAUUAACCUCAAAUUACUAUUAUAUAAGCAUGUAUGUUUAAUAUUUAUGCAGUUAUGCAAUCUGUGAAUUUUUCCGAUAUAAGAUGUGAUAUUCUUGAACUAAAGGGUGACAACUACAAAGUAUGAAAGGAAAGAAUUCUCUUUCAUUUGAGGUAGAUGGACAUUGAUUAUGUUAUUAGGAAAGACGAACCAAGCAUUACCACAACUAGCACUGUAGAUGAAAAGGCUCUUUAUAAAUGAUGGGUGUGAUCCAAUUGCCUUAGUGUGAUGUUCAUAAAAAACAAAAUCUCUACUGGUAUUCAAUGUUCAGUUGAUCAACAUGAUAAAGUUAAGGCAUUAUUAAAGGCUACUGAUGAACAAUUUCAAACUUCAGAUGAGACACUUGCCAGUACCUUGAUUAUGAAGUUUUCAUCCUUAAGGCUCACCAGUGUAAGAAGUGUAUGUGAACACAUCAUGCAAAUGAGGGACAUUGUAACUCAACUAAAAACUCUUGAGGUUGAAAUGUUUGAAUCUUUCCUUGUGCACUACAUACUGAACACUUUUCCACAACAACUUCUGACCAUGUGUGUUCAAGAGGUAUGGAGGUUGGUAAUGGAAAUUGGUGAGAAUGCAUUAUUCGCAAAACAAGGAAAUAACCAAAACCAAGCCAAAAAAAAAAAAAAAAAAGGAAAGGUAAAAUACUGCCCCAAUGAGAAAUAAAAAAAGAAUCCAAGUGCUUCAUCUGCAAAAAGAAAGGACACAUGAAGAAAAAUUGCUCCAAAUUUCAUAAAUGACUUGAGAAAAAAGGUAAACCAAUCUCAUUUGUUUGUUAUGAAUCUAAUAUGGUUGAUGUUAAGCAUGACACAUUGUGGAUUGAUUCUAGUUCUACAAUCCAUAUUUCAAAUACCUUGUAGGGUACACAAAACCUAAGGAAGCUAGUGGGAAGUGAGUAGUGCAUCUAUUCAAGAAACAAGAUGCAUUCAUAUGUAAAAGCUCUUGGAACAUGCACUUUAGUUUUAAGUAGUGGUUUUGUUCUAAAUUUGGAAAAGACAUUUUACAUUCCAAGUUUUUCUAAGAAUUUGAUUUCAGUUUCAAGACUUGUUCCUUUUGGUUAGUCCUUUUAACUUUUCAAAAACAUCAUUUAGUUUAUUUUAUAAAUCUAAUCUUGUUGGGAAUGGUACAUUGUCUAAUAGUCUUUUCUUUAUUAAUUUGCAAAAUGAUACUACUCAUAAUGUUAUGCAUCUUCACACUGGUGUUAAACGAUGUGUUAUGAAUGAAGAUUCCUUUAUGUUAUAGCACCGAAGAUCAAAACAUAUCUCAAUAGAAAGAAUUAAGAGAUUAGUAAAUUAUGGAGUAUUUAGUACUUUGGAUUUUACUGAUUUUGAUAUUUGUAUGAACUUCAAUAAGAGAAAAUAGAUCAACAAGUAAAAAAAAAUGUGCUAAAAGGAGCAUAGACAUAUUGAAGAUCAUACAUUCAGACAUUUGUAGUCUAGACAUGGACUCAUAUGGUCUAAAAUACUUCAUCUCUUUCAUAAACGAUUACUCAUGAUACAUGUAUCUCUACUUGCUUCAUAACAAGAAUGAAACAUUAAAUGUUGUCAAGUUUUUAAGGCCAAAUUAGAAAAUCAAUAUGGAAACAAAUUAAGAUAAUGAGAACAAAUAGAGAUGGAGAAUAUUAUGGUAAAUACACUAACGAUGGACAAACACCCGGUCCAUUUGUGAAGUUUCUUCAAGAGCAUGGGAUAGUUGCCCAAUAUACCAUGUAUGGUUCUCCAUACUAGAAUGGCAUAGCAGAAAAAAUAAACUGAAUGUUAUUGGACAUGAUACAGAGUAUGCUUAGUAGCUCCAAGCUUAUUAAAUCCUUGUAGACUGAAGCUUUUAAAAUGACAAUGUAUAUAUUGAACCGAGUCCCAACUAAUGUUGCCCUAAAAACGUCAUUUGAAUUAUGGAAAGAUUGGAAACCGAGUUUGCAACAUAUACGCAUUUGGGGAUGCCCAUUUGAAGUAAGAGUUUACCACCCACAAGAGAAUAAACUAGACCUAAGGACCAUUAGUGGAUUUUUCGUUGGAUAUGCAAAAAGGUCUAAAUGGUACAUAUUCUACUAUCCCACAACACUAGGAUUGUGUAAUCAAGAAAUGCAAAAUUCCUUGAGAAUGACUUGUUCAAUGAGAAUAUCAAACCUAAAGCAUAGUCUCUGAGAAAGAUCAAUCUUCCAUUUCAAGUGAAAGGUUGGUUAUUAUUCACAACACCUCUCAAGUUCAAAUGGGAGUUGAGCAACCAAUCGUUGAAGUUCCACAAGCUAUUGAGAAUAAUCCAAUAGAUUAAGUUGUUCAGGAAAUGCCAAAAAUUGUUGAACAACCAAUUGAACAACAUAAUCCUCAGGAAAAUUUUGAUUCAACAUUAAAGAGAUCUACUAGAGCAAGGAAAUUAGCAAUUCCUAGUGAUUAUGUUAUGUAUCUAAAAUAAUUGGAUUAUAACAUUUGAGCCGAAAAUGAUCUUGAAACAUUUUCACAAGCCAUUAGUUGCGAAAGAUCAAAUUUAUGGUACAAUGCCAUGAAGGAUGAGAUGAAUUCUAUGGCAUCUAACGAAGUCUAGAAUCUUGUUGAGUUGUCUGAUAGUGCAAAAGUCAUAGGAUGUAAAUAGGCUUUUAAGACAAAAAAAGACUCAUUGGACAAUAUUGAAAGAUAUAAAGCAAGACUUGUUGCUAAAAAAUUCACUUAAAAGGAAAUAAUCGACUAUAAGGAGUCCUUCUCUCCUAUAUCUAAGAAAGAUUAUUUUCGUAUUAGUAUGACAUUGGUUACACAUUUUGAUUUAGAGGUACAACAAAUGGAUGUGAAAAUGGCUUUCCUUAAUAAAGAUCUAAAGGAAGAAGUUUACAUAAAACAACCAAAAGAAAUUUCCUCUAGAGAUGGUGAGCAUUUGGUGUGCAAGCUCAAGAAAUCCAUAUAUGGAUUGAAACAAGUCUCCCGUUAGUGGUACUUGAAAUUCCAUGAUGUUCGUUAUCUCUUCGUGUGGGUCUGUAGAGAAUAGUAUAAAUCAAUGUAUAUACCAGAAAGUUAGUAAGAGUAAAAUAUGUUUACUUAUUCUAUAUGUGGAUGACAUUUUACUUGCAACUAAUGAUAAGGGUUUGCUACAUGAGGUAAAACAAUUUCUAUUUAAAAACUGACAUGAAAUAUUUGGGUGAUGCUUCUUAUGUCAUUGGCAUUAAGAUACAUAGAGAUAGAUUUUGAGAAAUUUUGGGUUUGUCUCAAAAAACCUAUAUCAACAAAGUUUUAGAGAGAUUUUGGAUAAAAUAUUGUUCACCAAGUAUAGCUCCUAUUGUGAAUGGUGACAGGUUCAAUUUGCACUAGUGCCCAAAAAAUGAUAUUGAAAUGAAACAAAUGAAGAACAUUUCAUAUGUUUCUGUUGUUGGAAACUUAAUGUAUGCUCAAGUCUACAUAAGACUUGACAUUACAUUUUUUGUUAGGAUGUUAAGAAAAUAUCAAAGUAAUUCAGGUACAAACCACUGAAGAGUUGCAAAAAAUGUGUUAAGGUGUUUUCAAGGGACGAAGGACUACGUACUUAUGUAUAAACGGACUAAUAAUCUGGAGGUGAUUAGCUACUCAAAUUCAAACUUUGUUGGUUGUGUUGAUUCACAAAAAUCAACUUCUAGAUUCAUUUUUAUGUUCGUUGGUGGAAUUGUAUCCUGGAGGAGUGCAAAGCAAACUUUGUCUACUACUUCCACUAUAGAGGCUGAGUUUAUAUCUUGUUUUGAGGUUACCUCGCAUGGUGUAUGGAGGAAAAGUUUCAUUUUUUAACUUAGAAUUAUAGAUUCAAUUUCUAAGCUAUUUAGGAUAUAUUGCAACAAUUUAUGUGUAGUUUUUAUGGCUAAAAACAAUAAAAGUGGUAGUCGAAGCAAACACAUCAACAUCAAGUAUUUAGUCAUAAGGGAACAUGUUAAGAAGAAAAUAAUGGUUAUUGAAUACAUCAGCACUGAGUUGAUGAUAGUUGAUCCUUUGACAAAAGGCAUGCCACCAUUGAAAUUCAAGAAUCAUGUGAAUAGAAUGGGACUUCAUUCCUUUAUAUGAUUUUCGUUGUAAUAAUGAAUGUUAUUUGUGAUGAAACUUUAUUAAUGUGAUAAUAUUUUCUCUUAUUUGUUUCUAAUUUGUAUACACAUUCAUUCAUUUGAGAAAUAUUACUAAUGUUUGGACCUGAAAUAAACCUUAGGCUUAUUCAUUAAGUAAUGAAGGCAAGUGUUUAAGAGACAUGAUGCAUUGUGAUACAUGGAAGAUAAUACUUGUUUCAGAGAAUCUAUUGUCAUGAUUUGUGUAUUUUGUUUCUUACUAUGGUGAAUGAUGGAAUAUAUAGACCAAGUGGGAUAAUAUUAGAUUUUCCUAAACAGAUCUAGAAAUCUGGCCUAUAAUCUUCCAUUAAUUUUGGGAAUAAUGCUAGACUUAAAUAGGUCUAGAAAUGCUGUCUCUAUUAUUCUAGAAUUUCUAUUGAUUUAGUUUUACAUUUUUAUUGUCAUUAACAACCAUAAAUAAAUUAUGGUAUUGACUCUGUGAUGGGCAGGGUAAAUAUAAAUAGAGCCUUCGUGGUUAGGUCUCUAAGCUUUUGACUUCGAUUUUUAUUCAAAUACAUAUACACUAUUGUUUAAAAUUGAUUAAGAGUUUAGAAGCACCUCAACCCAUUUGAAGAUCAAAUUUGAUUUCUAAAUUCUCAAAUUGAGGUAUGUUCCUCUUCUCCUUUAUUUCCGCAUUUGAUAUAGGCUACACUGGAAGGACCCAGUGUUGUCUCUAUAAUUGACUCUUAUUUCGUCGUCAUGUUUCCGCCUCAAAAAACCCCGAUUCCUUGUUUACACACUGCUACCAAAGGGGAUAGAUUCCUUGUUUACACACUGCUACCACAGGGGAGAGAGGAGGAGAGCUACCAACCAAACAAUGGAGGUUGAAGCUCAGCUGAGCAGCAACACGAGGAAGGCUCUGCUGGUUCUGAGUUGUGUGAUUCUCUCAAUUGGACACUGCGGUGGUCCCUUGGUGAUGCGCCUAUACUUCGUCCGUGGCGGCGAGAGGAUAUGGUUUUCCAGUUGGUUGGAAACGGCUGGGUGGCCCUUGAUCCUAGUCCCUCUCAUCAUCACUUACAUGCACCGCCGAACUAAGCAAGGCUCCCAUGCCAAGCUCUUCUUCAUGAAACCUCCUCUGUUCGUAGCCUCCGCUGUUAUCGGUGUCCUCACCGCCCUCGAUGACUACCUCUACGCUUAUGGCGUAGCAAAACUGCCCGUUUCAACAAUUGCUCUCAUCAUCGCAAGCCAGCUCGCUUUCACAGCAGCCUUCGCAUUCCUCUUAGUGAAACAAAAGUUCACCUCAUACUCCGUAAAUGCCAUAUUUCUCUUGAGUAUUGGUGCUGGUGUCUUGGCUCUACACACUAGCUCCGACCGCCCUGCUAAUGAGUCCAACAAAGAAUAUUACCUCGGGUUUUUCAUGACACUUGCAGCUGCAGCGCUCUAUGGUUUCAUUCUCCCCCUGGUUGAAUUAACAUACAAGAAAGCAAAGCAGGCAAUAACCUACUCACUGGUCAUGGAGAUUCAAAUGGUGAUGUGCUUCUUCGCCACCUUCUUUUGCACAGUGGGGAUGCUGGUUAAUAAUGACUUUCAGGUGUAUUCCUCUUUUCUAUCCACCCAGUUACCUUUAACACAUUCAACCAGAUAGAACCACCAAAAACAAAGAUUGAUAAUUUAUGUUUGCUUCUUCCUCAUUUAAUUUUGUAGGCAAUUCCCAGAGAGGCAAAAGAAUACGAGCUUGGAGAAGCUAAAUAUUAUCUGGUGGUGGUAUGGAAUGGGAUCAUGUGGCAGUGCUUCUACUUAGGAGCAAUAGGAGUCAUCUUUUGCGCUUCAUCUUUGGUAGCCGGUAUUGUGCUUGCUGUCCUACUCCCCGUGACUGAGAUCUUGGCUGUUAUUUUCUUCCACGACAAAUUUCAAGCAGAGAAGGGGGUUUCACUUGCUCUCUCUCUUUGGGGUUUUGUUUCAUACUUCUACGGCGAGAUAAAGGAUAGCAAGAAAAAGAAGAAUCCCACUCCGGAGACGGAGCUGCCUCAAACAGUCAAUCCAUGAUAAACAAAUGUCUUUCUUUUCCCCACAGAAGAGGGGGGACAGGAUUCGCAUAUAAGCAUUUACUAGGGAAUUUAAAGAAACACUUCAUCUGUAUGUUACAGGCAGUUCAUAACCAAGACUAAAGUGGGUUUCUUUCCAGUUUUGAGAUGAAGGAAUUCCAAUAAAAUAUGGACUGUAAGGUCAAGGCGUGCUAAAUGUGAAGUCGAUACAGAGUGGGAAAAUAUGACAUAUUUUGAGACUUAAUAGUCAUAUCCAAUUUCUAUUAUCUAUAAUAUUAUAUAGUAUUAUAAAAUAAUCUCUCUCAUCCUUGGAUAUGGUUAAACUAUGUUAAAAUUUGAGUAUUCUGUUUAUGGUUGGUUUUAUCUCUGUAUGUUCUUAUUACAGCUUCCACUUAACACAUCAACUUAGUAUUAAAACCUUGGUUGAAUAUUUUUUAGAAGAACCAAAGAUAAUAGAAGAUUGUGGUCCAUGAAAAAAACCCUAACACACACUAUCAAUGUACAAUAGUGUAUACCAUAAAUAAAUAAAAAAGAAGAAAUAUUCACUUAAACGAAAUUUUUAACAGUAGAAAUGGUUGAAAAAUGCUUCCAAUUCCUAAAGAAUAUUUUAAAUAUUGAUUGGGAACUUGCAACAUUUCCCAAUAUUAGAAUCAAUAAGGAAACGGUCUUACUGAGAAAGAAUUGAAGUCAUCGUCAUCCAGGCAAGAUGAUGGGCCAUUAAGGUUAGGUUGGGAUCAAGAGAAGCUGGAUAUGGAUUGUUUUGUUAAUCCAGUAUAACUUAAAAGCUUAAUUAAGUUAUGUAAUAGUGGACCAACAGUGCACUUUGCACUGAUUUGGGUUACAUGUUAGGGUCGUAGCCCAAGUAGGUUGAUAUAUGAUGGUGGACCAACAACUGCAUGCGAAUGAAUGGCUAUGUGAAUUUCCUAAGACUCGGUUCAUUUCAACUUCUACUGAUUGCAUCGAAACUUUCGGGAAGAAUUGGCGUAUGGAUCUUCCCUAAAUGGGUGUUGACGCCGCCAAAAUAGGCACCUCCAAAUACAUGGCCUUAAGCCACCUACAGCAUAGCCGCCCAAGACGCAAGCAUCUGUAGCUAUCCAAAACGAGCUCGGCUAAAAAUAAGUGCCUGCAUAUGAGAUAUGACUCACAUCCAGGACUGGCAGGUUGACCGAACUGACCCUCAAAAGAAGGCCUCACCAACUCUUAAACAUUAUCGGAACAGGCUGGCAGGCUUUAACACAUGCCCUAACCAUAUAAACGUAAAAAAAAAAAAAAAGAAAAAAAAAAAGAAGAAGAUCAUAAUAAGACAAAAAGGGGAGAAAGAAAUUCUCUCGUCUACAGGUGUCGAAGCUUCAUUCAACACAGAGUUGUAAGAUUACCAAUGUUGGGUGCAGACCUAUCCUUUCUAGUUAUCUCCGCCGGUGAAGCUUGAGGAGGAAAAACAAACCACAAGGUCAUUUCGAUACUCUACUCUUUAGGCUUUACCUGGACACUAAGAAGAUAAUCAAAGAUUACAAAGCAGAAUAUGAGGAGGGAGGUUUGUGGUUUGGUACGUAUUGUAGCUUCAGAUUUGGUCUGUCCCAUAGAGUAAAAGUGAUGGUCCCCAGUUCAAAGCAACGAGGUAAGAGUUUUAUCACUGAAUUUGCUGGAUUUAGAAGGAUUCAUCGUUUCAAUAUGACGCCACUUAUUUAUUGUUUCGGGGUAUUCCAGGCAUGCUCUUGCUUACAAUUCCAAGACAAACGCAUCUCUUUAGAGGCACUGUCCUUGAGAAAUGGUAAAGUUCCUCCAAGCUGUGAGAAAAUCCAAGGGGUUUUUCCCGAGGAUUCUCCAUGUAUGGCCCCGUUGGGUUGAACCGUACGGGUUAGAAGGUGGAGUGGACUGAGUUGGCUCAACCAUCUUGGAAUAUGGAUUCAGCGUCAAGGAUUCGGCUGCACCAUGUUGGAGAUGGACUGACUGGCCCAUGUGUUCUGUAAGGGAGUCCAAUGGGCACCCAUGCAAUAAAAGCCCGUGUGACGUGCUCUUGGAGAUCAAAACAUGAUCCGUACAAUACAACUUACUGCCGACCUACGCCACAGGUCGUGGCGCUGGCACCCGUAGGGUCUAGAGACCACAUAUUCAAACUGAUAAUUACAGUAUUCAUUCCUGUCACCAAUUUCGAAAUGGCCCACCCAAGAAACAUGUGGAGCUUUCACCCAAAAUAUUGCGUUUUAAAAAAAAAUUUCAAAAAAUAAAGUUGUUUUAAAAAUAAUGUACGAUGUAAUAAAUAUAUACCACAUAAGCUGUCAUGGCAUAAAACUGUAGUUGAUGACUACGGUUUUAUUUUUUUAAAAUGGUUAGAAACCGUAGUUACCAACCACGGUUUUAACUUUAAGUUUAAAGCCGUAGUUGGUGACUACGGCUUUGACAUUUUUUUAAAAUGGUCAAAGUCAUAGUUACCAACUACGAUUUUAACUUUAUAUAUAUUUAUAUAUAACUUUAAUUUUUUUAAUAAAAAUAUUAUAUUAUUUUGAUUUUAAAUAUACUUAUUUCAUUAUUUUAAAAAUAAUAAUAUAUGAAAUUAAAUAAAUGAUAUUUUUAAUUUGAUAUAAAUAUAUUUUUAAAUUUUAUUAAAAUAAUAUAUUCUAUAUUUAAUAUAAAUAUAUUUAUUUAAUUAUAUUUAAAUAUAAAUAAAAUAUAAUAAAUUAUGAAAGCCUAUUAAAAAACAAAUAAUAUAAAUUAUUAUAUUAAUUAAUAAUUUUUUAUAUACUAUAUGUAAGUGGUAUAUAAUGUCACAUGUAUAUAAGUUCAAUUAAGUUUAAAAUUUAUCAUAUUUUAAUUUAAGUUCAUAAUAUUAUAUCGAUAUGAUAAUAAUUUAUUUAUAUAUUUAAAUAAAUAUGCUAAAUUUUAAACUUAAAUUAAAAUUAUAUAUAUAUAUAUAUAUGUGUGUGUGAUAUUAUAUACUAUUUACAUAUAAUAUAUAAAAAAAUUAUUAAUUAAUAUAAUAAUUCAUAUUAUUUUUUUCUCCAAAUAGGCAUUUAUAAUUUAUUUAUUUUAAAUAAACAUAAUUUAUUAUAUUUCAUUUAUAUUUAAUUUUAAUUAAAUAAUUAUAUUUAUAUUAAAUAUAGUGUCAAUUGUUUUAAUAAAAUUUAUUUAUAUAUUUAAAAAUAAUGUGAUAAAUUUUAAACUUAAAUUAAACUUUUAUAUAUAUAUAUAUAUAUAUAUAUAUAUAUAUGUGUGUGAGAGAGAGAGGUAUUAUAUACCACUUAUAUAUAAUAUAUAAAAAAAUUAUUAAUUAAUAUAAUAAUUUAUAUUACUUUUUUAUUUUUCUAAAUAGGUAUUUAUAAUUUAUUUAUUUUAAAUAAAUAUAAUUUAUUAUAUUUUAUUUUAAUUAAUUAAUUAUAUUUAUAUUAAAUAUAGUGCCUAUUGUUUUAAUAAAAUUUAAAAUAUAUUUUUAUAUCAAAUUAAAAAUAUCAAUUAUUUAAUUUCGUAUAUUAUUAUUUUUAAAAUAAUAAAAUAAGUAUAUUUAAAAUCAAAGUAAUAUAAUAUUUUUAUUAAAAAAAUUAAAAUUAUAUAUAAAUAUAUAUAAAGUUAAAACCGCAGUUGGUGACUACGGUUUUGACCAUUUUUAAAAAAAAAAAUCAAAGUCGUAGUCACUAACUACGACUUUAAACUUAAAGUUAAAACCGUGGUUGGUAACUACGGUUUCUAACCACUUAAAAAAAUAAAACCGUAGUCACCAACUACAGUUUUAUGACAUGGCAGUUUAUGUAGCACAGACGCAUUAGAUCGGUCAUUAUUUUCAAAGCAAUUUUAUUUUUUGGAAUUUUUUUUUAAAACACACUAUUUUGGGUCAAAGCUCAAUGGCCAUCAAACGGGGAAUCACGUGAUGAGAAAUUGAAGAGAAGAAUUAAAAACAAAAAAUAAAUAAAAAGAAGAAAAGGAAAGGUCAAUACCCCUCAAUCAGUUUCAAGAAAAGGGCAUGUGUUAUGAGCAAUGCACUGAAACGCGAACCAUUUCAGCCCUCCAAAGGACAACACAAGUUAAUAGCCCGUGUGGUCCCAACCUUCUGGAAAUACGAUUCCUCCCACCAAAUCUUGGUAAUCAAAAUAAAAUGGGUUAUCAUCUUCAACUGCUUUGCAUGCCUAAUGAACAUUGUUUUCGAUUACCAGUAUAGUUAGUUCUCUCAUUAACAUUUCUUCAGGAUCAAGGAUAUUGUUUUCAUUGACUUGCUCCUAUUUUGCAUUUGUUGAUGGAGAUACACAACGCACACACAUUAAUCCUAAUCUUAAAAAAUGGUAUUAAAUCUGUUCAAGGAAGCUAAGCAGGAAGAGCAUAAAACCUUGCAUUCACAGCAUUGUCGAUUUGUGAUUUAGCCCGGAUGCUUCUGAAAGCAUUAUGGAUAGGUUCGAAGCCCUCAGAAAUUAGACUAAUGCCAUGUUUACGUCAUCAUUACUAGCUUUCACACCAAAAUUCCAAAAAGAUAAACGCUAUGGUAUUAGUUUAAUGUUUAUCUCAUUGCCACCACACUAGUCAUCUAGAAGGUUUUACUGCUUUGAAUGGCUGCACAGGGUUUACACAAUAGAAGUAAAAAAAUGGGGCCUCUUCGCUGAAGCAUAAUUGGACUCUUGUGAGUCUAACCAUUAAUCUGGAACUGGAAAGCUGCCCUCUUUUAUUUAACUCCUAUAAUGAAGAUAAUGAUCCGAGACAUCAAUGUUUUCAACGAAAACUGGAUCGCUACACUUGGAUGUCCAGCAAAUUUUCAAUUUAAAUAAUGUACAAGACAAUCAAGGAGGUGAAAAAAAUUGAUGAAGCGAAUCAACAGUUUCUGAUACCAAUUUCAGGCACAUACGGCAUGUGCAAAUAUCUAGAUAUUUUAAUCCCAAAUAAAAUAAUGGUUCCUUUUUUCGUUUUCUUUUGUUUGACGUAUGCAUCAGGAACGGAACAUAUCUUAUAUUAUUUUGAUUCCAAAUUUCAAAUGAAGACGAGAUUCCAUAACUGAAUUGUCAACACGACCUUUGGGACUGAUGAACCUUAUUCAAACAAUGAUGAAAGGCAAAUUUUUGUAUUGAUAUAAUACAACUAGCCAACUGUAUGGGUGUAAGGAUCAAGGAAGACUAGGAAAUUUCGAAGGAUGAGACUACAACCCCAUCAGAAUGCCUUCUGGACCCACACUAUUUUAGUUCGUGGCAGUCAAAUCGCAAUAUAAUAGACGUAGGGAAGGACCCAAUGUUAUCACUAUAAUUGACUCUUAUUUCGUCGUCAUGCACCGCCUCAAAAAACCCGAAUUCCUCUUGGCACUGCGACUUCAAGGGAGAAGGAGAAGGAGUAGGAGAGGGGAGAGGGGAGAGGGGAGAGGGAGGGAGAGCUACCAACCGAACAGUGGAGAUGGAAGCUCAGCUGAGCAGCAACAUGAGGAAGGCUCUGCUGGUUCUGAAUUGUGUCAUUCUCUCAAUUGGAAACUGCGGUGGUCCCAUGGUGAUGCGCCUGUAUUUCGUCCGUGGCGGCGAGAGAAUAUGGUUUUCCAGUUGGUUGGAAACGGCUGGGUGGCCCUUGAUCCUAGUCCCUCUCAUCAUCACUUACAUCCACCGCCGAACCAAGCAAGGCUCCCAUGCCAAGCUCUUCUUCAUGAAACCUCCUCUGUUCGUGGCCUCCGCUGUUAUCGGUGUCCUCACCGGCUUCGAUGACUACCUCUACGCCUAUGGCGUAGCAAAACUGCCCGUUUCAACAUCUGCUCUCAUUAUCGCAAGCCAGCUCGCUUUCACAGCAGCCUUCGCGUUCCUCUUGGUGAAACAAAAGUUCACCUCAUACUCCGUAAAUGCCAUAUUUCUGUUGAGUAUCGGUGCCGGUGUCUUGGCUUUACACACUAGCUCCGACCGCCCUGCUAAUGAGUCCAACAAAGAAUAUUAC